This 260-nucleotide ribosomal RNA is filed under the name uncultured bacterium. RNAcentral describes it as "partial 16S ribosomal RNA". It matches the Rfam family "Bacterial small subunit ribosomal RNA", at positions 793 to 1055 of the family's 1533-position model. The record is from RNAcentral.
GUCCUAGCCCUAACCAUCAGAACUUGGGUGGCCCGCGUAGGCGGGUCGUCCCGUAGCUAACGCGUUAAGUUCUGCGCCUGGGGAGUACGGUCGCAAGACUGAAACUCAAAGGAAUUGACGGGCCCGCACAAGCGGUGGAACAUGUGGUUCAAUUCGACGCAACGCGAAGAACCUUACCUGGGCUUGAACCGCUACUGACCAAGGGUAGAAAUAUCCUCUUCCCGCAAGGGACAGUAGUAGAGGUGCUGCAUGGCUGUCGU